CAGGGAAUAGUUUAUCUAGAAUUUCAGCUUUGGGUGCUGAUGGUGGAGCUUGGGCUUCUUCCUUGA
RNAcentral lists this transfer RNA (66 nucleotides) under Hexaprotodon liberiensis (pygmy hippopotamus). Its description in RNAcentral is "tRNA-Pro". The record is from RNAcentral. Lineage: Eukaryota; Metazoa; Chordata; Mammalia; Artiodactyla; Hippopotamidae.